GACGAACGCUGGCGGCGUGCUUAACACAUGCAAGUCGAACGGAAAGGCCCCCUUGUGGGGUACUCGAGUGGCGAACGGGUGAGUAACACGUGAGUAACCUACCCUUGACUUUGGGAUAACUUCAGGAAACUGGGGCUAAUACCGGAUAGGAGCUCCUGCUGCAUGGUGGGGGUUGGAAAGUUUCGGCGGUUGGGGAUGGACUCGCGGCUUAUCAGCUUGUUGGUGGGGUAGUGGCUCACCAAGGCUUUGACGGGUAGCCGGCCUGAGAGGGUGACCGGCCACAUUGGGACUGAGAUACGGACCAGACUCCUACGGGAGGCAGCAGUGGGGAAUAUUGCACAAUGGGCGGAAGCCUGAUGCAGCAACGCCGCGUGCGGGAUGACGGCCUUCGGGUUGUAAACCGCUUUCGACUGUGACGAAGAGUGAGUGACGGUAAUGGGUAAAGAAGCAACGGCUAACUACGUG
Molecule: ribosomal RNA, 465 nt
Filed under: uncultured bacterium
Lineage: Bacteria
Description: partial 16S ribosomal RNA
Rfam family: Bacterial small subunit ribosomal RNA
Source: RNAcentral